CGCCUGUUUAUCAAAAACAUUGCAUGUUGAAAACAAAAUAACAAGUACAUCCUGCCCAGUGACUGACUCAGUUCAACGGCCGCGGUAACCUGACCGUGCAAAGGUAGCAUAAUCACUUGCCUCUUAAUUAGUGGCUAGUAUGAAUGGACAAACUAAGUUUAUCUGUCUCAAUUAAACCAAUAAAAAUUAGAGCUUAGGUGAAAAUACCUAAAUCAAAAUGAAAGACAAGAAGACCCUGUCGAGCUUAAUAAUAAACGAUACAAACCCUUAAAAAAAUAAACCUAACUAUCCAUAUAUUAUUUUGUUGGGGCGACAAGAGCUUAUAUUAACCACCUCAAAUCUUCAGAAAAAAAAUUCACUCAAAUGACCUUAUUAAAAUCACAUAAAAAGCUACCGCAGGGAUAACAGACUAAUUUCUCUCAAAAGUUCAUAUUUACAGAGAAGCUUAGCACCUCGAUGUUGGCUUAGGGGCCUAUAAAAUGCAGAAGUUUUAUCAAGCGGGUUUGUUCAACCCAUAAACCCCUACGUGAUCUGAGUUCAGACCGG
This 546-nucleotide ribosomal RNA is filed under the name Pettiboneia urciensis. RNAcentral describes it as "partial 16S ribosomal RNA". It matches the Rfam family "Bacterial large subunit ribosomal RNA", at positions 1797 to 2619 of the family's 2925-position model. Lineage: Eukaryota; Metazoa; Annelida; Polychaeta; Eunicida; Dorvilleidae. The record is from RNAcentral.